Long non-coding RNA from Mastomys coucha (southern multimammate mouse), 915 nucleotides. RefSeq lists it as uncharacterized. The record is from RefSeq and is a predicted model, not a curated record. Lineage: Eukaryota; Metazoa; Chordata; Mammalia; Rodentia; Muridae. The transcript has 3 exons.
GGUACUGAGGAGGCCGGUGAAGGCCGGGAUUGGAACCCUGCUGCCAGCAAGAUUCCUGCAGGGUGGCUGGGUCAGCUCACCCCUGGCUGGCUAGGCCAAAAGACAAUGCUGGGUACGUGCAAGAAGGCAGAAUCUGACUGGGAACCAGGAUAGGAAGGCAGGACCCAGAGCAAGUCAAAGACUAAGUUUCAGGGGUUCAGUCCAUUAUCAUCACGGCAGGAAGCAUGGCAGUGGGCAGGCGGACAUGGUGCUGGAGGAGCUGAGCGUUCUACAGCUUGAUUUGAAGGCGGCAGGUGACUGGAAUUCCACACUGGGCGGAGCUUAAGCACAGGAGACAUCAUAGCCGGCCUACACGGUGACACACUUCCUCCAACAAGGCCACACCUACUCCUAAUAGUGCUAUGGGCCCAGGAUGCACACUGGGCCUGCUGGGUGGAGUGAGUCUACUGCGUCCUAAAGCAGGAAGCUGAGCAACUCGUGGCUCUGAUCUUCAGAAGGGGACAUGUCCAGACAGACCCAGGCAGCACUGCAGUAUACCCUAGACACACCCAUUCGGGGCCAGACCUGGCUGGCGAUGCCACAGGAGCUCGUGGUUUAUGUUAAAGUCUGUACAAAACUUAGCUUAAAAGAAAGAAACAGAGCCAGAAGAUGGUUCAGCAGCAAAGGCGCCCAACGAUGCCUGGAACCCACAUAAAGGUGGAAGGAAAGGAUUGUCCUCUGACCUCUGACCUCCCCCCACCAAAUACAUAGUCAAACUAAAACUUCUGAAAAAUGGUUAAGAAGAAGAAAAGACCUACAUUGAUAGAGAUUUGUAAAAGGGCACAGAAAUCAGUGAGAAAAGCCCCCAACGGCCACGGUGGAAACAGGCUAAGCAAUAAAAUAAAAUGGUUUGGGGUUACAACUCAUAAGUAUUAA